RNAcentral lists this transfer RNA (69 nucleotides) under Niviventer excelsior (large white-bellied rat). RNAcentral's name for it is "tRNA-Cys". The record is from RNAcentral. Lineage: Eukaryota; Metazoa; Chordata; Mammalia; Rodentia; Muridae.
AGCCUUAAGGUGAUAAUCAUGUCGGAUUGCAAAUUCGAAGGUGUAGGGAAGGUACCCCUACUAAGGCUU